UUUAAUGAAAGAGAUUGGUCCCAAGAAAGUUGAACAUCGAGCCUGCACCUACAUGCAAUUCCCCCAUCUUCUGUUUAGCUACCAGAGGCCCUGAGAAUCAGCCUACUUCUGAUUUUUCACUUUCGAUCACUCCAAGUCUAAUCUAAAGUGUACAUUACUCUUUUUGGCGGCCAAAAUUAAUCACAUUUUGAAUAUGGGUUGUGGAGAAUGCUAAUCAAAAUUAAAAACAAGAUGGGAGACAUCUUUAGAACCUGGGUGUUUGGACUGCUUAGGUUCAAGGAUACUAGACAGUCAUAACAUUACUUCUUGUGCACAAGGAUUCCUGUUGAUCCUCCCACAAUCCCAAGGGAUGUGUAUGGCUCUGGUCUACCUACAGGGAAGCUGACUGGGCCCAGAUUCUGGGCCAGUAAGUGACAAGAAACCAGAAGAAUGAAUGGUCAUCUCUGCUUUUUGAAAUGAAGAGCCACCUCCAGAUUUUCAGGCUUCUGUGGUUGGGGCCACAGUCUGACUUCAAAUUUACAGGUCUGCUACUAUCUCGACAUUUCCACCUGUUGGACUUGGCCCUGUCCACGCAUUAUCUUUGCUGCGCACCCCUUCUCCCGGAUUCUUGAAGCCCCGCAGGCCCUCAUCACGCCGGCGGGUGUGGGUGUUCGGUGCUCUCAGCUCAGCGCAAUCCGAAGAGCCGGCGAAGAAUCAUCACCGGUGCUUGGGGACACUAAGAACUCGUGGUAAACUGAGGCCCGAGAUUCUGUGGCAAAAGGAGUUGAUACUUCAGGGCACAGACAGGCAAGGGAUCCUAGAGCAAGGGGCUGAUGCUGAACCCCCCCUGGGAUCACACUGAGUGAUAUGGCAAAUAGAAGAGCCCAAGAGAGACAUAAGUGACCAGAAGAAGGGAAAGAGGACUAGAGGGCUAGAACUGGGAGGGAGAGAUGUAAAGGGCCAGUAAGCCUCGACAGUGGGCCUAGGGACGCAGAACUUGGAGAAAGAGCCAAGGGGCAGCUGGGGUCAGCGCUGCCCGAUUACUGCCCGCUGUGGACCCAGACUCAGUUACACUGAGAUCGGAAAAAUGUCAACUAAAAGACCAAAACCAAAACACAACCAGUAAGGCCUGCAGCUAACACAGGCCGAGGGGGAGAAGUCAAAAGCCUUCCCAGGGUGCUGUCGAGGCCUCCUCCAAGGGGCUACCCGCUCUCAGGGUAAAUAUUUACUCAGUAGGAGACUGGAAGCUAACGGGGGAGGGUGGGAAGGAGCGGGCUACACGGGGUGGAGAGAAUCCGGGCGCUCCACGCUGGCAGGGACAGAGUAUACACCAGCCCGAGGGAAGCCAGGGCCCGGGACUCCAGGGGCGGCUCGCCCCGGGUGCGCGGCUGGGGUAACUUAGCCCGCAGCGCGCUCUUAGGCUAGGCUCCUGCCCUCCACUGCAGGCCCAGGCCAGAUGUUGUAAAGUCUUCAUAAACCUGUCAGCGGUCGCCGUGCCGCGGACAGUAACCUGUGGGCCCCCCUCUCGGCGCUAGCGGGAUCCAAGGAGAGACCGCGCGGAGGAACAGGAUCCAGCUCUUUCUGAGGCCGCCCUCGCGCAACCGGGCGGACGGCGCCCGCCCGGGGACUGCCGAGGUGCGACCCCGGAGCUACAGGCUGUUGAGGGAGGAGAACUCCUUCCUAGCUCUCCAACCCCACCGACGCCCCGGGCUGCUACCCCGGGGUCUGCAGGUCAGCUACGACUACGUCCCCGCGCGCGAGAGGUCCUGCCGUUCGCAGUUGCAUUUAUGAAGGGCAGAGUUGGCGGAGAAGAUUAAGGGGCAGUUUCUUCCAACUUGCCCUCCUCCUCCCCUCCUCCUGGGGACAGGACCCCGGGCAGGCGCAGGCGACGGUGCCCGCUUCUCGCCCAGCCCUGGGAGCUCCAGGGAUGGAGACGAGGCAGGCUCUGAGCUCCGGGACGGGUUUUCGGAGCCCAGUGACUUCUUCCAACCUCGAGUGGAGGGAAUGAGGUAGAAACAAGAUCUCGAAUCCGGUCCUCCCCAGGGAGCGCCUCUUUCAGGGUAAGUGAAAGA
RNAcentral lists this long non-coding RNA (2051 nucleotides) under Canis lupus familiaris (dog). Its description in RNAcentral is "lncRNA (ENSCAFG00040021941.1)". The record is from RNAcentral. Lineage: Eukaryota; Metazoa; Chordata; Mammalia; Carnivora; Canidae.